CCCUUAGAUGUUCUGGGCCGCACGCGUGCUACACUGAGUAAUUCAAUGGGUAAGGGAACGCUAGAGCAUUACCUAAUCUUGAAAUUUGCUCGUGAUGGGGAUCGACGGUUGCAAUUUUCCGUCGUGAACGAGGAAUACCUUGUAGGCGCAUGUCAUCAUCAUGCGCCGAAUACGUCCCUGCCCUUUGUACACACCGCCCGUCGCUCCUACCGAUUGAGUGAUCCGGUGAGGCUCUGGGACCUGGACGGAAAGAGCGUUUCGCUUGUUCUGUUUGGGAACCUUGGUCGAACCUUAUCAUUUAGAGGAAGGAGAAGUCGUAACA
This 322-nucleotide ribosomal RNA is filed under the name uncultured eukaryote. RNAcentral describes it as "partial 18S ribosomal RNA". It matches the Rfam family "Eukaryotic small subunit ribosomal RNA", at positions 1470 to 1796 of the family's 1831-position model. The record is from RNAcentral.